Gossypium arboreum is the source of this 107-nucleotide small nucleolar RNA. It matches the Rfam family "Plant small nucleolar RNA R71". Rfam says of the family: R71 is a member of the C/D box family of snoRNAs containing the C (UGAUGA) and D (CUGA) box motifs. The record is from Rfam. NCBI's taxonomy places the organism in Eukaryota, Viridiplantae, Streptophyta, Magnoliopsida, Malvales, Malvaceae.
AACCCAUGGUGAGGGCACAUUCUCAAUAAGUCUUUGUAUCUCUUCCAUGCAUUAUAAAAUGUUUCUAAAUCCAUCUACACAAAAGAAGAGAUAUCAUUCCUUAACUU